RNAcentral lists this ribosomal RNA (743 nucleotides) under uncultured bacterium. Its description in RNAcentral is "bacterial SSU rRNA". It matches the Rfam family "Bacterial small subunit ribosomal RNA", at positions 94 to 823 of the family's 1533-position model. The record is from RNAcentral.
AGCGGCGGAUGGGUGAGUAACACGUGGGGAACCUGCCCCUAAGUCUGGGAUACCAUUUGGAAACAGGUGCUAAUACCGGAUAAUAAAGCAGAUCGCAUGAUCAGCUUUUGAAAGGCGGCGUAAGCUGUCGCUAAGGGAUGGCCCCGCGGUGCAUUAGCUAGUUGGUAAGGUAACGGCUUACCAAGGCGACGAUGCAUAGCCGAGUUGAGAGACUGAUCGGCCACAUUGGAACUGAGACACGGCCCAAACUCCUACGGGAGGCAGCAGUAGGGAAUCUUCCACAAUGGACGCGAGUCUGAUGGAGCAACGCCGCGUGAGUGAAGAAGGUUUUCGGAUCGUAAAGCUCUGUUGUUGGUGAAGAAGGAUAGAGGUAGUAACUGGCCUUUAUUUGACGGUAAUCAACCAGAAAGUCACGGCUAACUACGUGCCAGCAGCCGCGGUAAUACGUAGGUGGCAAGCGUUGUCCGGAUUUAUUGGGCGUAAAGCGAGCGCAGGCGGAAAAAUAAGUCUAAUGUGAAAGCCCUCGGCUUAACCGAGGAACUGCAUCGGAAACUGUUUUUCUUGAGUGCAGAAGAGGAGAGUGGAACUCCAUGUGUAGCGGUGGAAUGCGUAGAUAUAUGGAAGAACACCAGUGGCGAAGGCGGCUCUCUGGUCUGCAACUGACGCCGAGGCUCGGAAGCAUGGGUAGCGAACAGGAUUAGAUACCCUGGUAGUCCAUGCCGUAAACGAUGAGUGCUAAGUGU